Molecule: non-coding RNA, 76 nt
Organism: Myotis brandtii (Brandt's bat)
Lineage: Eukaryota; Metazoa; Chordata; Mammalia; Chiroptera; Vespertilionidae
Source: Rfam
CUUGGGGUCGGGGGUGGUCCCUCAGCCUGGAAUGAGAGAGGGCACAGGCCAGGCUGAGGGACCCUACCAGUGCAUC